RNAcentral lists this ribosomal RNA (253 nucleotides) under uncultured bacterium. RNAcentral describes it as "partial 16S ribosomal RNA". It matches the Rfam family "Bacterial small subunit ribosomal RNA", at positions 524 to 776 of the family's 1533-position model. The record is from RNAcentral.
UACGUAGGGGGCGAGCGUUGUCCGGAUUUAUUGGGCGUAAAGCGCUCGCAGGCGGCUCGAUGCGUCGUGCGUGAAACACCCCGGCUCAACUGGGGAGGGUCGUGCGAUACGGUCGGGCUGGAGGCCAGUAGGGGGAUGCGGAAUUCCGGGUGUAGUGGUGGAAUGCGUAGAGAUCCGGAGGAACACCAGCGGCGAAGGCGGCAUCCUGGACUGGUCCUGACGCUCAGGAGCGAAAGCGUGGGGAGCGAUCCGG